UUUUUGAACAAACGAUGCGGUGAAAAAUACCCAUUACAAGUUUACCAAUUCAAAGAAGCGUUUGGCCUUAGUGCUAUCUAAUGGAAUAAAAUAAUAUGAUACUAGAAAUUUGAGGUGUCCGUUUUCUUAAAAUAUUGAGAGCUGUACACUAGUCGUCUUUAACUAAAAUAUUAUCCAAUCAAUCAAGUUGUGACGUCAACCUUCCGAGACAAAAAAAAAUAUACCCACUGGUUCCCACCGACUUUGUUAGACUAGAUCAUGAACCUCAUUAUUCUAUGACUAGGGAACAAAAAUCGAUCCAGUAAAAAAAAACAUCGCAUUUCUCUAUACCUGUUUAAUUUUCAAUCCAACCAGAG
RNAcentral lists this long non-coding RNA (356 nucleotides) under Mytilus galloprovincialis (Mediterranean mussel). Lineage: Eukaryota; Metazoa; Mollusca; Bivalvia; Mytilida; Mytilidae. The record is from RNAcentral.